UACGUAGGCAGCGAGCGUUGUUCGGAGUUACUGGGCGUAAAGGGUGUGUAGGCGGUUGUUUAAGUUUGGUGUGAAAUCCCCCGGCCCAACCGGGGAACUGCGUCCAGUACUGCGUUGCUUGAGGAUCCAAGGGGUGCAUGGAAUUCCCGGUGGAGCGGUGAAAUGCGUUGAUAUCGGGAGGAACUCCGGCGGCGAAAGCGGUGCACUGGUGGAUUACUGACGCUGAGGUGCGAAAGCCAGGGGAGCAAACGGG
RNAcentral lists this ribosomal RNA (253 nucleotides) under uncultured bacterium. Its description in RNAcentral is "partial 16S ribosomal RNA". It matches the Rfam family "Bacterial small subunit ribosomal RNA", at positions 524 to 776 of the family's 1533-position model. The record is from RNAcentral.